RNAcentral lists this ribosomal RNA (1343 nucleotides) under uncultured bacterium. RNAcentral's name for it is "16S ribosomal RNA". It matches the Rfam family "Bacterial small subunit ribosomal RNA", at positions 28 to 1378 of the family's 1533-position model. The record is from RNAcentral.
GACGAACGUUGGCGGCGUGCUUAACACAUGCAAGUCGAACGGAAAGGCCCUGCUUUUGUGGGGUGCUCGAGUGGCGAACGGGUGAGUAACACGUGAGUAACCUGCCCUUGACUUUGGGAUAACUUCAGGAAACUGGGGCUAAUACCGGAUAGGAGCUCCUGCUGCAUGGUGGGGGUUGGAAAGUUUCGGCGGUUGGGGAUGGACUCGCGGCUUAUCAGCUUGUUGGUGGGGUAGUGGCUUACCAAGGCUUUGACGGGUAGCCGGCCUGAGAGGGUGACCGGCCACAUUGGGACUGAGAUACGGCCCAGACUCCUACGGGAGGCAGCAGUGGGGAAUAUUGCACAAUGGGCGGAAGCCUGAUGCAGCAACGCCGCGUGCGGGAUGACGGCCUUCGGGUUGUAAACCGCUUUCGCCUGUGACGAAGCGUGAGUGACGGUAAUGGGUAAAGAAGCACCGGCUAACUACGUGCCAGCAGCCGCGGUGAUACGUAGGGUGCGAGCGUUGUCCGGAUUUAUUGGGCGUAAAGGGCUCGUAGGUGGUUGAUCGCGUCGGAAGUGUAAUCUUGGGGCUUAACCCUGAGCGUGCUUUCGAUACGGGUUGACUUGAGGAAGGUAGGGGAGAAUGGAAUUCCUGGUGGAGCGGUGGAAUGCGCAGAUAUCAGGAGGAACACCAGUGGCGAAGGCGGUUCUCUGGGCCUUUCCUGACGCUGAGGAGCGAAAGCGUGGGGAGCGAACAGGCUUAGAUACCCUGGUAGUCCACGCUGUAAACGGUGGGUACUAGGUGUGGGGUCCAUUCCACGGGUUCCGUGCCGUAGCUAACGCUUUAAGUACCCCGCCUGGGGAGUACGGCCGCAAGGCUAAAACUCAAAGGAAUUGACGGGGCCCCGCACAAGCGGCGGAGCAUGCGGAUUAAUUCGAUGCAACGCGUAGAACCUUACCUGGGUUUAACAUGGAUCGGGAGUGCUCAGAGAUGGGUGUGCCUCUUUUGGGGUCGGUUCACAGGUGGUGCAUGGCUGUCGUCAGCUCGUGUCGUGAGAUGUUGGGUUAAGUCCCGCAACGAGCGCAACCCUUGUUCACUGUUGCCAGCACGUUAUGGUGGGGACUCAGUGGAGACCGCCGGGGUCAACUCGGAGGAAGGUGGGGAUGACGUCAAGUCAUCAUGCCCCUUAUGUCCAGGGCUUCACGCAUGCUACAAUGGCUGGUACAGAGAGUGGCGAGCCUGUGAGGGUGAGCGAAUCUCGGAAAGCCGGUCUCAGUUCGGAUUGGGGUCUGCAACUCGACCUCAUGAAGUCGGAGUCGCUAGUAAUCGCAGAUCAGCAACGCUGCGGUGAAUACGUUCCCGGG